RNAcentral lists this long non-coding RNA (1113 nucleotides) under Sinocyclocheilus grahami. Its description in RNAcentral is "lncRNA (ENSSGRG00000047998.1)". The record is from RNAcentral. Lineage: Eukaryota; Metazoa; Chordata; Actinopteri; Cypriniformes; Cyprinidae.
CCAGGUGGAACUGCAUGAUGGUUUUUUUUUUCCUCUCUGUCUUUAGGUUUACUUUGAUUGUGGCGCCAAGGUGGAUGUUGUGGAUGUGCAGGGCCUCAUUCUGUCACCUGGCUUCCCGUAUAACUAUUCAUCUGGAACUCACUGUGUUUGGCAGUUCUUUGUACCUGUUGGUCAUCAGCUAGUCAUGGAGAUGUUUGAUUUUGAUGUCUUUGAGAGUCACAACAGUCCUGCAAGAUAUACCACCACAUCUGCUGCCAUUGUGGAUGAGGAACUGAAAGAUGGUGGCUCGCUUGUAUCAAAAAGCCUCGGGAGUCCAAAGGAACCCCAGUCCACACACAGAGAGGAUGUCAAGCAAGUGGUGAUCCAAGAGCAGUCCACCAAAAUGGAGAUGACCAAAGUUUCCAAUUCUGCCAAAAUGCUUUCUGAUUCCCCCUCAGCUCCACAAGCAUCUCUUCCAGUUGAAAACAGAAAUUCUAUUUCAUCUCAGGCAUCAAGAGCAGCCAGUGACUUUAUCUCUACAAGCCCACAUACAGCCACAGAAACAGAUGACGCUUUGAGCACUGAGACCCAGCCACCUUUGUUUGAUGCCUGUCCCCAUGAUGUCCUCUACAUAUCUGAUCUCAUGACAUUCUCCUCCCGAUUCUGUGGUUCUAGACGCCCUUCUAGCAGCCAGUUGGUGUUUGGGUCUGAUGAUGACAUGGUGGAGGUCAUUAUGGAGUUGAUUACCACUACUCACUGGGGCCGUGGUUUCGCUCUCCUCUUCCAUUAUCAGAAUCAAACACAGGCAGCCACAAGAGAACAGCAGAGAUCGCUAGUGACCUCGGACAGCAGAACUGGUGCACUGCUCGGUGCUAUAAGUGGAACAAUUGUGUUUGCUGUGGCCCUUGCUGGCAUCCUCUGUGUGAUUUUCAGGUUCCAGAAGGAGUGCUAAAUUCAGCGGCAGAUGUGAGUGAACUUCAGAUGGUUUCUCCUAAUCACUUGGAGCAGCAGUCGGGUACAGUGAACGACAACAACAACCAUUCCCUCAACCGCAGUCUGUCCCAUACAGGUGCUUAGUGUCUCUUUAUCUGUCCCUCUGCCUUAUUCUCUUUUCCCUUCCACAUCACUCCCUCA